RNAcentral lists this ribosomal RNA (502 nucleotides) under uncultured bacterium. RNAcentral's name for it is "partial 16S ribosomal RNA". It matches the Rfam family "Bacterial small subunit ribosomal RNA", at positions 30 to 523 of the family's 1533-position model. The record is from RNAcentral.
AUUGAACGCUGGCGGCAGGCUUAACACAUGCAAGUCGAGCGGGGUGAUGGUGCUUGCACUAUCACUUAGCGGCGGACGGGUGAGUAAUGCUUAGGAAUCUGCCUAUUAGUGGGGGACAACAUCUCGAAAGGGAUGCUAAUACCGCAUACGUCCUACGGGAGAAAGCAGGGGAUCACUUGUGACCUUGCGCUAAUAGAUGAGCCUAAGUCGGAUUAGCUAGUUGGUGGGGUAAAGGCCUACCAAGGCGACGAUCUGUAGCGGGUCUGAGAGGAUGAUCCGCCACACUGGGACUGGGACACGGCCCAGACUCCUACGGGAGGCAGCAGUGGGGAAUAUUGGACAAUGGGGGAACCCUGAUCCAGCCAUGCCGCGUGUGUGAAGAAGGCCUUAUGGUUGUAAAGCACUUUAAGCGAGGAGGAGGCUCUUUUGGUUAAUACCCAAGAUGAGUGGACGUUACUCGCAGAAUAAGCACCGGCUAACUCUGUGCCAGCCGCCGCUGUAA